UGAGGAAUAUUGGUCAAUGGACGGAAGUCUGAACCAGCCAAGUAGCGUGCAGGAUGACGGCCCUAUGGGUUGUAAACUGCUUUUGUAUGGGGAUAAAGUUAGGGACGUGUCCCUAUUUGCAGGUACCAUACGAAUAAGGACUGGCUAAUUCCGUGCCAGCAGCCGCGGUAAUACGGAAGGUUCAGGCGUUAUCCGGAUUUAUUGGGUUUAAAGGGAGCGUAGGCUGGAGAUUAAGUGUGUUGUGAAAUGUAGACGCUCAACGUCUGAAUUGCAGCGCAUACUGGUUUCCUUGAGUACGCAGAACGUUGGCGGAAUUCGUCGUGUAGCGGUGAAAUGCUUAGAUAUGACGAAGAACUCCGAUUGCGAAGGCAGCUGACGGGAGCGCAACUGACGCUUAAGCUCGAAGGUGCGGGUAUCAAACAGG
Molecule: ribosomal RNA, 424 nt
Filed under: Verrucomicrobiota bacterium
Lineage: Bacteria; Pseudomonadati; Verrucomicrobiota
Description: Verrucomicrobia bacterium partial 16S ribosomal RNA
Rfam family: Bacterial small subunit ribosomal RNA
Source: RNAcentral